RNAcentral lists this ribosomal RNA (93 nucleotides) under Listeria monocytogenes. RNAcentral describes it as "partial 16S ribosomal RNA". It matches the Rfam family "Bacterial small subunit ribosomal RNA", at positions 1449 to 1533 of the family's 1533-position model. RNAcentral also lists the same sequence under 1 other name. Lineage: Bacteria; Bacillati; Bacillota; Bacilli; Caryophanales; Listeriaceae. The record is from RNAcentral.
CCAGCCGCCGAAGGUGGGACAGAUAAUUGGGGUGAAGUCGUAACAAGGUAGCCGUAUCGGAAGGUGCGGCUGGAUCACCUCCUUUCUAAGGAA